GAGUUAGUCUCGAAUGGUGACCAGCGGAGGGAUCAUUACAGAGUUAUCCAACUCCCAAACCCAUGUGAACUUAUCUCUUUGUUGCCUCGGCGCAAGCUACCCGGGACCUCGCGCCCCGGGCGGCCCGCCGGCGGACAAACCAAAACUCUUGUUAUCUUAGUUGAUUAUCUGAGUGUCUUAUUUAAUAAGUCAAAACUUUCAACAACGGAUCUCUUGGUUCUGGCAUCGAUGAAGAACGCAGCGAAAUGCGAUAAGUAAUGUGAAUUGCAGAAUUCAGUGAAUCAUCGAAUCUUUGAACGCACAUUGCGCCCAUUAGUAUUCUAGUGGGCAUGCCUGUUCGAGCGUCAUUUCAACCCCUAAGCACAGCUUAUUGUUGGGAACCUACGGCUUCGUAGUUCCUCAAAGACAUUGGCGGAGUGGCAGUGGUCCUCUGAGCGUAGUAAUCUUUUAUCUCGCUUCUGUUAGGUGCUGCCCCCCCGGCCGUAAAACCCCCAAUUUUUUCUGGUUGACCUCGGAUCAGGUAGGAAUACCCGCUGAACUUAAGCUUAAAGGGG
Molecule: ribosomal RNA, 554 nt
Filed under: Nigrospora sp. GSL5_6_1
Lineage: Eukaryota; Fungi; Ascomycota; Sordariomycetes; Amphisphaeriales; Apiosporaceae
Description: eukaryotic LSU rRNA
Rfam family: 5.8S ribosomal RNA (bases 194-347)
Source: RNAcentral